Molecule: long non-coding RNA, 2143 nt
Organism: Nomascus leucogenys (northern white-cheeked gibbon)
Lineage: Eukaryota; Metazoa; Chordata; Mammalia; Primates; Hylobatidae
Exons: 3
Source: RefSeq, a predicted model, not a curated record
AUGAGCUAAGGUUCCCGCGAGUGGGGAAGCGCGAGGUCAAAUCUGGGGCCACGCCCCCAGUCCUGUGGCGCAACUCCCCGAACACGGAAAAAAAAGGCGCAGUGGGGGUUCUGCUGUGUUUGCGAGUGAGGGUCGUGAGUGCAACGGGCGCAAGGCAUAAAGGCCAGUGUGUUAGUACGCGGGCAGGCUCGCGUGACCCUGGGGUUGCUGUGUGAGCGGCCCUCGUGGCGCGGGAGGUGAUGCGUUUGCGCAGGCGUGCGCCCCUGGCGUCGGGACUGGGACUCCGGAUUUCUGUGGCGACUGAGGCGCUCUUACCUUUGCGUCCUGAUCUCCAAGCAAGCACACUGACCUUCAGGCAAAUACGCACUGUUAAUUUUCCAGAAAGUUCUGUGGGUAAGGUUUAUACCUCUCGAGUCUGCCACUAGAUGCCGCCAAAUCCCAGCAAAGGAUUGGCUGUUUGGUCCCUGGGAUUCUGGGAUUUUGUUUCCCUCCCCCCUCCCCUUUCUGAUUUGCUGAACGGUACUAUCUAUAGGCAUCAUGGAUAUCGUUCAUUCCUAGGAAAAAAUAAAAUCAACUUCUGUAAAUAGCACUAGUAGGCAGGUGACUGUGACCCAAGAUCCAAAUAAUUUUGCUCAUUUCUUUCCUUUUCUCCUUGGAAAAAAAAAAAAAGGCCCCUCUCCAUCCCUCUCUUCUUUUGUCCUUGCCUUGUUUAAUCAAAGAGUUAAUGAAUGACCCAAGCACUGAUGCUGAAGAUCCUAACCCUUUUUCCUCACCUUUUCAAAUGCUCGCAACUCACCAAAACUGAAAAUACAGAUAGCUGUUCCGUCAGUAAAGAUAGAUAAGAACUCAUCAGUAAAACUUGGACCCUGGUAUUGAAAACUGAUUUUCCUUUUCUCUUGAAAUUUGUAUCAGAUAUGUGUUUUUGCACCCUGUUUUCUGUAGUGGUAUUGGUAAACUUUAUUGUGUCUUUGGAGUAAGAGAAAGAGACCUAAUUGUAAACCUCAUUGCACCACUUACUAGUCUCAGUACCCUGGGCAAAUGACUUAUGUUCUGUGAUCCUCAGUUUUUUGUAUGCUUUCUAAAUUUUAGAUGCUGUGUUAUAUCGUUCACGUCGAUUUUUUUAUUCAUCACCAAGUCCUUAUUAGAUGAGCACUACUAGAUCAAAGUCAAACAACAAAAAUCAUACCCCUUUCAAUUAUCUUAUACACUUGUACACCACACAAGAGGGAUUUUUUUAGAGCAGUGGUUCCCAAGGUAUGUUUCCUGAAUGUACCAGAAACAUCAGCAUCACCUGAAAAGUUGUCAGAAAUUCAGAUUCUCAGGUCCCACCUCAAACUUAAUGAAUCAAGUUCGCAGGGUGGGGUUUGGUAAUCUGUGUUAUUACAAACUAUCCCAGUGAUUCCAGCACACACUGAAGUUUGAGAGCCACUGCUUUGGAGAGUAGAAAUGCAAUGCAUAUUUUUGUGCACACCACUAGAGGGUGCUACAGAAUGUAAAGCAAAAUAAUAAAUGAUGCACAGUAUAUGUUUUCAGACACCCUCCAUAUUAUCAGUCCUAUUUUACAGAUUAAAAACUAACGUGUAAAGAUGUCAAAUUAUUUUCUUAGUGUACGUAACAAGUAUGGGAACCAGGAUUUGAACUUCACCUGCCUCUAGCCCAAGCCCCUAAUAGUACUCUGUUGUUUAACCAUGAUGACUUGUCUUUCCAAGCCUCAAAAUACAUUAGAAAUAUCUUGUUCCCUGCUUUGGCUAAUGUUGACUGGAGUGUCAAGAAGAGUGCAGGAAAGCAAACCAAGCUGUUGCAACCUCACCAGAACAGCUGAAGAAUGAAUUUCAGCCUGGACUCUACCUUAUUAGUUGGGCACCCUUGGGGAGGGUGCAACCUGCCCAACAUUUUCUGCUCGCCCUGUCUUACCUCAUGACUAAGAGAGCCUUUCUAGGUCUGGAAGGUAGCGGUCAGUCUGUUCUGGAGGGUGGAGAGAGACACCAGUGUUUUCCCAUGGUUUCUGGGUAGUAGAUAAAAUUGGUCUAUUCUAAGGUUAAUUUGAUAUUUUAAAAUUUUGGUUCUGACUAGCUUAUUGGAUUUUUUUGAAUAACGUUUGAUUAAUGUAAAGGUUAAAAAUAAAACCUAAUAUUUCAGCUAA